GAUGAACGCUGGCGGCGUGCCUAAUACAUGCAAGUCGAGCGAACAGACGAGGAGCUUGCUCCUCUGACGUUAGCGGCGGACGGGUGAGUAACACGUGGAUAACCUCCCUAUAAGACUGGGAUAACUUCGGGAAACCGGAGCUAAUACCGGAUAAUAUAUUGAACCGCAUGGUUCAAUAGUGAAAUACGGUUUUUCUGUCACUUAUCGAUGGAUCCGCGCCGCAUUAGCUAGUUGGUACGUUAACGGCUUUCCAAGGCGACGAGGCGUAGCCGACGUGAGGGGGUGAUCGGCCACACUGGAACUGAGACACGGUCCAGACUCCUACGGGAGGCAGCAGUAGGGAAUGUUCGGCAAUGGGCGAAAGCUUGACGGAGCAGGGCCGCGUGAGUGAUGAAGGUCUUGGGAUCGUAAAACUCUGUUAUUAGGUAAGAACAAAUGUGUAAGUAGCUAUGCACGUCUUGACGGUACCUGAUCAGAAAGCCACGGCUAACUACGUG
Molecule: ribosomal RNA, 497 nt
Filed under: uncultured bacterium
Lineage: Bacteria
Description: partial 16S ribosomal RNA
Rfam family: Bacterial small subunit ribosomal RNA
Source: RNAcentral